This is a long non-coding RNA of Gastrolobium bilobum, 812 nucleotides long. RefSeq lists it as uncharacterized. NCBI's taxonomy places the organism in Eukaryota, Viridiplantae, Streptophyta, Magnoliopsida, Fabales, Fabaceae. The record is from RefSeq and is a predicted model, not a curated record. The transcript is spliced from 4 exons.
UGAAGGAGCAAAAUGAUGUCUUCUCCUUCUUAUUUCUCUUGAAUUAAACUCAGCCAAAAUUUUGGUUCCCUAGUUUCUCAUGCGCAUAACAAGGACUACCCAAGGAAAACAGAUUGGUGAUUCUUGAUUCUCUUCUCUAGGUUCGGCCAAGCCCUUUUGCUGACCAACUAUUCACCUCCUAAUGUUCUAUAGACUGACUCAUCUCCAAUUGUUCCUCAAUCACAAACAGAAAAGGAUAAAACUCAGCCCUUACUUCUUCUCUAAACCGCAAGCAUCAUAAGAGAACACAAGACAAUCUAAGUUUUUGCAUGUUUGCCCCUCAUCUUCUCUUCACCACCGCAAACGUAUCAAGGAAGAAUCCCAAGAAGGAACCUCUCUUGCAUAUUCGUCCCUCAUCAUCUCCUAUGAGCCGUGAGUGUCCUAAAGAGGAAACAAAACACCUAAACUACAUUCCUUCUUCUCCUUUUCUACUUCGGCAGAAUCGCACCCAGCAAGGAGCUGGAAUCGGUUUUGUGGAUCUAAGGAAAAGGGUAGGACUGCUCUUUGGUUGCUGGUGGUCUUUGUGCACUAGUGGCUAGUGCGCAAGGUCCUAAAUAAGUGGGCUGUUUGGUGAUAUUUGAGUAAAAGUUGUAUGCAACGAGGAGGACGUAGAAGUGUUUGAUGACGUGAUUUCAUGGAAAUGUUUUGUUUAAGUUCUGCUGCUUGGGAAAUCCUGCUGUUUAAUUGAUGUUACUGUUGGAUGCAUAUUGUAUAUUCAGCCUUGAUGUAGCUUUUAAGAAUGGCAUUUUAUGAUGUAUAAUCUGUUUUGAAAA